CCGAGAGAGAGAAAUAGUCACAAAUCACCAGCUCGAGACCAGAAGGCAGAAACGACAGACGACAGCAGAACAUAUCGUUGGCGGCUUUGGGCUCCAACAACUCCUCCUCCUCGUGGCGUCGGUGCUGCUUCUUCUUCGAUUUUGAAUAGAAUUAUAGAAUGGAGUGUGUGCCGUCUAGACAAGAGAGUGGAGGAGAGGAAAAGCGUUUGGCUUUCACCCUUCACAAUUUGGGCAAUUGGAUUCUUGGAAUUGAUUUGAAAAUAGAAUAGAUAUGAUCAUUAGGAAAUUGGACCAUUUGUUAUUUCGUUCAUUUGGGAAUUUAAUGGGCUAAACAAAAAGAGGCCCAACAUCUUAUUAACUUAAUUACUCACUUCCGUCCAAACAAAAAAAAAUAGGUCGUCUCUUUCAUCUUCGUCUUCCAAGUUCCAUCUCGAGCCAGCUCUGCAAGUCUGCAACUGCAACCUACUGCUGAUUGCUUCCUGACGGUUCUGAAUAUUUCGACGGAGCAAGCACAUGCGAUCGUGCCUCCUCGUCGGGUGCUGGCUCCGCCCCUGAUAACAACUUAGUCUCUUUUUAACGACAUUAAAACUUAGCUUCUUGCCUUCUUCGAUUCCCCUUGAAGUAGAGGGAACCUUCUUUCUCUCUUUUGUGGGACGAUGUAUCACUUUUUUGACAAAAAAAAAGUCACGUUUUAAUAAAAGUUGUUGUAUGUGCACUCUAUUAAAAAAUAAUUUCACUUAUUAUGUUACUUUUAUAUUUGAAAUCCUGCCUCCAUAGCAUAUGAAGACGUUAUUUUUAUCGAUAUAUGAAAAAAGAAUACAAGUGAAAUAAUGUGAAAUUUUUUAAAAAUAAUAAUAAUAACAAAGUAUGUCACCUUGAAAUUUCACCAUAUUAAUUCAUAUGCAAAAGACAAGUGUUAAGUUAUCUCACAUGUAUGUGAGAAUUUCACAUUGUUGCUUUAGACCCAUGUGAAUUCUAUUUUCAAUUAAAG
This 991-nucleotide long non-coding RNA is filed under the name Olea europaea subsp. europaea. Lineage: Eukaryota; Viridiplantae; Streptophyta; Magnoliopsida; Lamiales; Oleaceae. The record is from RNAcentral.